GACGAACGCUGGCGGCGUGCCUAACACAUGCAAGUCGAACGAUGCAGCCGGGAAACGCGGACUUCGGGUCCAUUUUGACUGGGGACUAGUGGUAGGCGGCGGAGUAACGCGUGGGCAGGGGACCUCUUACAAAGGGAUAGCCUCGGGAAACCGUGAUAUAUACCAUGUGUCACACUCAUAAGGCUUCUCAAGUUUGUUAAAGAUACGCCGACAAGGGAUAGGCUCGCGUGCUAUUAGCUAGUUGGUAGGGUAACGGCCCACCAAGGCGACGAUGCAUAGCCGGCCUGAGAGGAUGAACAGUCACAUUGGAACUGAGACACGGCCCAGACUCCUACGGGAGGCAGCAGUGGGGAAUAUUGCACAAUGGACGAAAGUCUGAUCCAGCAACGCCGCGUGAGUGAUGAAGGCCUUCGUGUCGUAAAGCUCUGUUAUAUGGGAAGAUAAUGACAGUACCGGGAGAAUAAGCCCCGGCUAAAUACGUG
Molecule: ribosomal RNA, 482 nt
Filed under: uncultured bacterium
Lineage: Bacteria
Description: partial 16S ribosomal RNA
Rfam family: Bacterial small subunit ribosomal RNA
Source: RNAcentral